This 618-nucleotide ribosomal RNA is filed under the name uncultured bacterium. Its description in RNAcentral is "bacterial SSU rRNA". The stretch from base 1 to 518 matches the Rfam family "Bacterial small subunit ribosomal RNA", at positions 338 to 873 of the family's 1533-position model. The record is from RNAcentral.
CCUACGGGAGGCAGCAGUGGGGAAUCUUGCGCAAUGGGCGAAAGCCUGACGCAGCCAUGCCGCGUGUAUGAUGAAGGUCUUAGGAUUGUAAAAUACUUUCACCGGUGAAGAUAAUGACUGUAGCCGGAGAAGAAGCCCCGGCUAACUUCGUGCCAGCAGCCGCGGUAAUACGAAGGGGGCUAGCGUUGCUCGGAAUUACUGGGCGUAAAGGGAGCGUAGGCGGACAUUUAAGUCAGAGGUGAAAUCCCGGAGCUUAACUUCGGAACUGCCUUUGAUACUGGGUGUCUUGAGUGUGAGAGAGGUAUGUGGAACUCCGAGUGUAGAGGUGAAAUUCGUAGAUAUUCGGAAGAACACCAGUGGCGAAGGCGACAUACUGGCUCAUUACUGACGCUGAGGCUCGAAAGCGUGGGGAGCAAACAGGAUUAGAUACCCUGGUAGUCCACGCCGUAAACGAUGAUUGCUAGUUGUCGGGAAGCUUGCUUCUCGGUGACGCNGCUACGACAUAAGACAACUCCGCCGUCGGGGAGGUACGGUCGGCGAAGAAGUUAAAACUUAACUAAAUUAGUUAAGUUAGUUACGGCGUGAGACGUUGCCGACGGACGACGACGAGGGAGGAGG